RNAcentral lists this ribosomal RNA (229 nucleotides) under uncultured bacterium. RNAcentral describes it as "partial 16S ribosomal RNA". It matches the Rfam family "Bacterial small subunit ribosomal RNA", at positions 103 to 334 of the family's 1533-position model. The record is from RNAcentral.
CCGGGUGCGUAACGCGUAUGCAACCUGCCGUCUACUCUUGGACAGCCUUCUGAAAGGAAGAUUAAUACAAGAUGGCAUCAUGAGUCCGCAUGUUCACAUGAUUAAAGGUAUUCCGGUAGACGAUGGGGAUGCGUUCCAUUAGAUAGUAGGCGGGGUAACGGCCCACCAGCUCGAUGGAUAGGGGUUCUGAGAGGAAGGUCCCCCACAUUGGAACUGAGACACGGUCCAA